This 2397-nucleotide ribosomal RNA is filed under the name Gastrodia elata f. glauca. RNAcentral describes it as "eukaryotic LSU rRNA". The stretch from base 755 to 2397 matches the Rfam family "Eukaryotic large subunit ribosomal RNA", at positions 1891 to 3368 of the family's 3401-position model. Lineage: Eukaryota; Viridiplantae; Streptophyta; Magnoliopsida; Asparagales; Orchidaceae. The record is from RNAcentral.
AUAAAUCGAACUUCAAUCUUAAAAAUGGAAGAAGAACAGAAUGAAAGUAAAGAUGAAGAUUGACUCCUAAAUCAUUUGAUUAAAAAGCUAACUUAAGAAUAUCCAAACUUAAAUGCAGAUUGACGAACUAUUACUCAUCCGAACUGUUGAACUGUUAAACUUUUGAACUUAAAAGAACAAGGUACCAGAUGUCUUUUAUUACUCUUGUUUAAAUAUACUUUUCUGCUCAGCGUCGCACAAAUUUGAUAAAAGUGCUUUUUAAAGUCACAUAAAAUGAUAUAUGAAUAAGUUUGGAUAAGUGAGAAGUAAGGGUUCCAUGUUGCUUUAUACUUUUUGUCUGAUCAGACAGCCACUAGGACAGUGCUGUCCAACAUCAGGAGUCAUAAGGAGCCUAUACUGAUAAGCCUUUGAGGGGGCAAGUAUAGAGAAAAGUUGAGAUAUGUAACACAAAAAUGAACCCCCCUUUUCCUCGAUUUUGUACUUGCCCAACAAAAUCAUAUUUUGCCUCAGAUAUCAAGCGCUAAAAUUCUGUAUUUAUUUUUGUGACUGCAAUUAUUUUUAUGCUAAGUUUCAAAUGCAAUUGAAACAAGUUUGCAGGGAUAAGUUUGUACAGCUUUUAUUUCCUGUCAAAUAUUGAUUAUUUUGCUUAUUAUUUAACAUUUGUAAAGAUGACAUCUAUCAGUACUUAGUUUCACAACUAACUAGUAUUUGAAUGACCGCACUUUUGAAACGUGCCCAGAUCUGGAGUUCAUCCUUGAAGAAAGAUGCUAAGAACCAAGCAAUUAUGAUACUGCUUCCUGCUGAUCUUCCGCUUUCCUUUUUGACUCUACAUUUUUUUAAAGUUUGUAUUUUUCUUUUAUUUUAAUCUAAGUAUCCAAGAUUCAUGAAUUAAUGAAUAAAAUGAGUUAUGUUUGAUGUCUAUAUAUUUGUCUCUUAAAUCACUCAAUAUGAUCUUGCGACUAGAGAACUUGUUGUUGCUUGUUGUUGUUGCUAUUGCUAUUCCAGCAAGCAAACCGGUGCUGGAUCUGCUCCCGCUGACCCGGCACCGGGUCCUCACAAGGUCGUCGCGUGCUGGCUGGGGGACGGAUUGGGAACGGCCCCACGGGGCCUUUCUUGGGCGUCGAACAACCGACUCAGAACUGGUACGAUCAAGGGGAAUCCGACUGUUUAAUUAAAACAAAGCAUUGCGAUAGUCCCAGCGGAUGCUCACGCAAUGUGAUUUAUGCCCAGUGCUCUGAAUGUCAAAGUGAAGAAAUUCAACCAAGCGCAGGUAAACGGCGGGAGUAACUAUGACUCUCUUAAAGUAGCCAAAUGCCUCGUCAUCUAAUUAGUGGUGCAUGAAUGGAUUAACGAGAUUCUCACUGUCCUUAUCUACUACCCAGCAAAACCACAGCCACGGGAACGGGCUUGGCAGAAUCAGCGAGGAAAGAAGACCCUGUUGAGCUUGACUCUAGUUCGACUUUGUGAAAUGACUCGAGAGGUGUAGCAUAACUGGGAGCCGGCACGCCGGCGAAAGUGAAAUACCAUUACUUUUAACAUUAUUUUACUUAUUCCGUGAGACGGAGGCGGGGCGUUGCCCCUCCUUUUGGCUUUCAAGUCCCGCUCCGACGGGUCGAUCCGGGCGGAAGACAUUGUCAGGUGGGGAGUUUAGCUGGGGUGGCACAUCUGUUAAAAGAUAACGCAGGUGUCCUAAGAUGAGCUCAACGAGAACAGAAAUCUCGUGUCGAACAAAAGGGUAAAGACUUGUUCGAUUCUGAUUUCCAAUGCGAAUACGAACCGUGAAAAUGUGGCCUAUCGAUCCUUUAAUUAUUCGGAGUUUGAAGCUAGAGGUGUCAGAAAAAUUACCACAGGGAUAACUGGCUUGUCGCAGCCAAGCGUUCAUAGCGUCGUUGCUUUUUGAUCCUUUGAUGUCAGCUCUUCCUAUCAUUGUGAAGCAGAAUUCACCAAAUGUUAGAUUGUUCACCCACCAAUAUGGAACGUGAGUUGGGUUUAGAUCGUCAUGAGACAGGUUAGUUUUACCCUACUGAUGAUCGUGCCGUGAUAGUAAUUCAACCCAUUACGAGAGGAACCGUUGAUUCAAACAAUUGGUCAUCGCGCUUGGUUGAAAAUCCAGUGGCGCGAAGCUACCAUGUGCAGGAUUAUGACUGAACGCCCCUAAGUCAGAAUACGCGCUUAUGAUGUGGAGCCUGAGCCCGUCGAUUGCCCUCCGACCGACAGUAGGGGCAUCGCCCCCAAGGGCACGCGAGCCAAGCUACGCCCGCGCCGUUUUCCUCAUAAGGAUCGUUGUGGCGUCCCUGAAUUGCAGUUCCGAACGAUGGACGGGCAGAAUCCUUUGCAGACGACUUAAAUUCGCGACGGGGCAUUAUACGUGGCAGAGUGGUCUUUGCUGCCACGAUC